Molecule: long non-coding RNA, 448 nt
Organism: Thalassophryne amazonica
Lineage: Eukaryota; Metazoa; Chordata; Actinopteri; Batrachoidiformes; Batrachoididae
Exons: 2
Source: RefSeq, a predicted model, not a curated record
GCAGGAAGAAGAAAGUCUUUUUAUGGCUGUUUUGUAAACUGAAACAUGUGCGUUUUUGUCUGUGUGGCUUCAAAGGGUCGACAUGCUGGAACACUCGGAUUGCUUUUCGCCGCUCUCUCUGUGAAAGGAACCGUUGUGAAGCCUUCAGCUAAUAUUAGACUGUGUGUGUGUGUGUGUGUGUGUGUGUGUGUGUGUGUGUGUGUGUGUGUGUGUGUGUGUGUGUGUGUGCGUGCAGGUGGUUUUGAAGGACUGUAUUACUUUUUAAGUUAAGUGUAAGAACUUUGCAGUAUUAUUUUGUUUUUGGCUUUACCCAACGCUGCUUUCAGUGAUCGCUUGUGUACUUGAUGUAUUGUUGUUAUAAGGUGGUCACGGAAACAUUUUCUUAAAGACAAUCAUAGGGAAUAAAUGUAUUUACAUCAGUGAAUAAAUAAAAAUGCUUUUUGCUGGA